RNAcentral lists this ribosomal RNA (299 nucleotides) under uncultured bacterium. Its description in RNAcentral is "partial 16S ribosomal RNA". It matches the Rfam family "Bacterial small subunit ribosomal RNA", at positions 28 to 325 of the family's 1533-position model. The record is from RNAcentral.
GACAAACGCUGGCGGCGUGCUUAAUACAUGCAAGUCGAACGGUUCCUCUUAGGAGGAAUAGUGGCGGACGGGUGAGUAACACGUAGGUAACCUGCCCUCUUGUGGGGAAUAACAGCUCGAAAGAGUUGCUAAUACCGCAUAAGCUCUUACAUGUGAGUGUAAGAGGAAACGCACCUCUUAGGAGGGGCGGCGAGUGGAGGGGCCGUGCGGCGGAUUAGCUAGAUGGUGGGGUAAAGGCCUACCAUGGCGACGAUCCGUAGCUGGUCUGAGAGGACGGCCAGCCACACUGGGACUGAGAC